AUUGAACGCUGGCGGCAUGCCUUACACAUGCAAGUCGAACGGCAGCACGGGAGCAAUCCUGGUGGCGAGUGGCGAACGGGUGAGUAAUACAUCGGAACGUGCCCAAUCGUGGGGGAUAACGCAGCGAAAGCUGUGCUAAUACCGCAUACGAUCUACGGAUGAAAGCAGGGGAUCGCAAGACCUUGCGCGAAUGGAGCGGCCGAUGGCAGAUUAGGUAGUUGGUGAGGUAAAGGCUCACCAAGCCGUCGAUCUGUAGCUGGUCUGAGAGGACGACCAGCCACACUGGGACUGAGACACGGCCCAGACUCCUACGGGAGGCAGCAGUGGGGAAUUUUGGACAAUAGGCGAAAGCCUGAUCCAGCCAUGCCGCGUGCAGGAUGAAGGCCUUCGGGUUGUAAACUGCUUUUGUACGGAACGAAACGGCCUUUUCUAAUAAAGAGGGCUAAUGACGGUACCGUAAGAAUAAGCACCGGCUAACUACGUGCCAGCAGCCGCGGUAAUACGUAGGGUGCAAGCGUUAAUCGGAAUUACUGGGCGUAAAGCGUGCGCAGGCGGUUAUGUAAGACAGUUGUGAAAUCCCCGGGCUCAACCUGGGAACUGCAUCUGUGACUGCAUAGCUAGAGUACGGUAGAGGGGGAUGGAAUUCCGCGUGUAGCGGUGAAAUGCGUAGAUAUGCGGAGGAACACCGAUGGCGAAGGCAAUCCCCUGGACCUGUACUGGCGCUCAUGCACGAAAGCGUGGGGAGCAAACAGG
This 753-nucleotide ribosomal RNA is filed under the name uncultured Comamonadaceae bacterium. RNAcentral describes it as "bacterial SSU rRNA". It matches the Rfam family "Bacterial small subunit ribosomal RNA", at positions 28 to 776 of the family's 1533-position model. Lineage: Bacteria; Pseudomonadati; Pseudomonadota; Betaproteobacteria; Burkholderiales; Comamonadaceae. The record is from RNAcentral.